This 407-nucleotide ribosomal RNA is filed under the name Microsporidia sp. Its description in RNAcentral is "SSU rRNA". It matches the Rfam family "Eukaryotic small subunit ribosomal RNA", at positions 1354 to 1791 of the family's 1831-position model. Lineage: Eukaryota; Fungi; Microsporidia. The record is from RNAcentral.
CCUUAACCAGAGGUUAAACGAAUGAAUUUGGAUUUGUUUGUUAUCCAGGGGGGACUCGCUGGGUAUUACCAGCAGGAAGUAUGAGGCAAUAACAGGUCUGUGAUGCCCUUAGAUGUUCUGGGCCGCACGCGCGCUACACUGAGCGGGAUAGCGGGGGACCGAGGCUGAAAGGCUGAGGGAAUCGGCAAACCGGCUCGUGAUGGGGAUAGGCGAUUGUAAUUAUUUGCCUUGAACGAGGAAUUCCUAGUAAGCGCUAGUCAUUAGCUAGCGCUGAUUAUGUCCCUGCCCUUUGUACACACCGCCCGUCGCUACUACCGAUUGAAUGGGAUAGUGAGGUUUAUGGAUUGGAGGGAUUUAUCUUUCUGAGAAAGGAAACAAACUGUGUCAUUUAGAGGAAGUAAAAGUCG